RNAcentral lists this ribosomal RNA (252 nucleotides) under uncultured bacterium. RNAcentral's name for it is "partial 16S ribosomal RNA". It matches the Rfam family "Bacterial small subunit ribosomal RNA", at positions 525 to 776 of the family's 1533-position model. The record is from RNAcentral.
ACGGAGGAUCCAAGCGUUAUCCGGAAUCAUUGGGUUUAAAGGGUCCGUAGGUGGAUAAUUAAGUCAGAGGUGAAAGUUUGCAGCUCAACUGUAAAAUUGCCUUUGAUACUGGUUAUCUUGAAUCAUUAUGAAGUGGUUAGAAUAUGUAGUGUAGCGGUGAAAUGCAUAGAUAUUACAUAGAAUACCAAUUGCGAAGGCAGAUCACUAAUAAUGUAUUGACACUGAUGGACGAAAGCGUGGGGAGCGAACAGG